Molecule: non-coding RNA, 180 nt
Filed under: Glossina austeni
Lineage: Eukaryota; Metazoa; Arthropoda; Insecta; Diptera; Glossinidae
Description: eukaryotic large subunit ribosomal RNA
Rfam family: Eukaryotic large subunit ribosomal RNA
Source: RNAcentral
UUAUGUUGCGGUGCCCAAAUCAGCAACUCAUGCAGAUACCAUGAAAGGCGUUGGUUGCUUAAAACAGCAGGACGGUGGACAUGGAAGUCGCAAUCCGCUAAGGAGUGUGUAACAACUCACCUGCCGAAGCCGAACUAGCCCUUAAAAUGGAUGGCGCGUAAGUUGUGUACCUAUACAUUA